CCUACGGGUGGCAGCAGCUGCGGUAAUACGUAGGGGGCGAGCGUUGUCCGGAAUCACUGGGCGUAAAGGGCGUCUAGGCGGCUUAGUAAGCGGAAUGUGAAAGCCCAGGGCUCAACCCUGGUAUGCCGUUCCGAACUACUAGGCUUGAGUUCGGGAGAGGGCAGUGGAAUUCCCGGUGUAGCGGUGAAAUGUUUAGAUAUCGGGAGGAACACCAGUGGCGAAGGCGGCUGCCUGGACCGAUACUGACGCUGAAGCGCGAAAGCCAGGGGAGCGAACGGGAUUAGAUACCCCAGUAGUC
Molecule: ribosomal RNA, 298 nt
Filed under: uncultured bacterium
Lineage: Bacteria
Description: partial 16S ribosomal RNA
Rfam family: Bacterial small subunit ribosomal RNA
Source: RNAcentral